RNAcentral lists this transfer RNA (90 nucleotides) under Chloroflexota bacterium. RNAcentral describes it as "Chloroflexi bacterium (anaerobic digester metagenome) tRNA-Ser". It matches the Rfam family "tRNA". From Rfam's summary of the family: Transfer RNA (tRNA) molecules are approximately 80 nucleotides in length. Their secondary structure includes four short double-helical elements and three loops (D, anti-codon, and T loops). Lineage: Bacteria; Bacillati; Chloroflexota. The record is from RNAcentral.
GGAGAGGUAGCAUAGUCUGGCCUAAUGCGCGCGCCUGGAGAGCGCGUGAGCGGUCAUUCCGCUCCGUGGGUUCAAAUCCCACCCUCUCCG